Molecule: ribosomal RNA, 429 nt
Filed under: Bacillota bacterium
Lineage: Bacteria; Bacillati; Bacillota
Description: Firmicutes bacterium partial 16S ribosomal RNA
Rfam family: Bacterial small subunit ribosomal RNA
Source: RNAcentral
UAGGGAAUCUUCCACACUGGACGCAAGUCUGAUGGAGCACCGCCGCGUGAGUGAAGAAGGUUUUCGGAUCGUAAAGCUCUGUUGUUGGUGAAGAAGGAUAGAGGCAGUAACUGGUCUUUAUUUGACGGUAAUCAACCAGAAAGUCACGGCUAACUCCGUGCCAGCAGCCGCGGUAAUACGUAGGUGGCAAGCGUUGUCCGGAUUUAUUGGGCGUAAAGCGAGCGCAGGCGGAAUGAUAAGUCUGAUGUGAAAGCCCACGGCUCAACCGUGGAACUGCAUCGGAAACUGUCAUUCUUGAGUGCAGAAGAGGAGAGUGGAAUUCCAUGUGUAGCGGUGGAAUGCGUAGAUAUAUGGAAGAACACCAGUGGCGAAGGCGGCUCUCUGGUCUGCAACUGACGCUGAGGCUCGAAAGCAUGGGUAGCGAACAGG